CAAGAGAAAGGGGUGCUUUUCUCACAAGAAGAAUACUAGCUUUUUCAAGCUGCUUCAUCCCUGUUUGUCUCCUUACCGCCUACCUGCUGUCACUCUGUCACUCCACGCUUACGCGUUUUUCUUCAGUUUGAUCACUUCA
RNAcentral lists this non-coding RNA (139 nucleotides) under Palpitomonas bilix. The record is from RNAcentral.